GAGAUUUUUUUGUAUGUUACGUAACACGCGCUCAAAACUAAUGCGUAUAAUAUAUCACUUGAGGUUAUGACUAAAUUCAAAAUUUUUAUUUUUCGAUACGUUUCUCAAUCGGCAAACAAUUAACUUAAAAAGUAUGUUUAGUGCUUUAUUUGUAAAAUAAUGCCAAAAUGAAGGCAUUUUAGAUGAUACGCCAAAGAGAAAAUGAUGUCUGAAGUUCAGUAAGUUUUGCUUAUAUGGCUGUAAAUAUGGCGUCAAUUUUAAAGCAUCGUUGAUAAUUAGUGUAUUUUAAUUGACAAUUUUUAACUAUUAUUUCAUGUUUCUCAACCGGCAGAUGCAUUUAAAAAGGUUGCUAACUCUAUAAACUAGAGGAUAAAGCUAAAACAAAGUAAUUUUGAAAGGAACGCCAAAAAGAUUUCAG
RNAcentral lists this long non-coding RNA (418 nucleotides) under Paramuricea clavata. Lineage: Eukaryota; Metazoa; Cnidaria; Anthozoa; Malacalcyonacea; Plexauridae. The record is from RNAcentral.